UGAGAUAUGGUGUAAUGGCAACACAGCAGAUUUUGGUUCUGCUAUUCAAGGUUCAAAUUCUUGUAUCUCAACAA
RNAcentral lists this transfer RNA (74 nucleotides) under Bacteroides fragilis. RNAcentral's name for it is "tRNA-Gln". It matches the Rfam family "tRNA". Rfam says of the family: Transfer RNA (tRNA) molecules are approximately 80 nucleotides in length. The record is from RNAcentral. Lineage: Bacteria; Pseudomonadati; Bacteroidota; Bacteroidia; Bacteroidales; Bacteroidaceae.